RNAcentral lists this transfer RNA (124 nucleotides) under Kofleriaceae bacterium. RNAcentral describes it as "tRNA-OTHER". It matches the Rfam family "tRNA". From Rfam's summary of the family: Transfer RNA (tRNA) molecules are approximately 80 nucleotides in length. Their secondary structure includes four short double-helical elements and three loops (D, anti-codon, and T loops). The record is from RNAcentral. Lineage: Bacteria; Pseudomonadati; Myxococcota; Haliangiales; Kofleriaceae.
GCGGACGUAGCUCAACGGUAGAGCGUUCUCGUUCUUCACCCACCUUGCCCGGCGACGGGCCGACCGAGGAGCGUUAUCGAUCAUAAUCGAAAGGUUGCCGGUUCGAAUCCGGCCGUCUGCACCA